This 492-nucleotide ribosomal RNA is filed under the name uncultured bacterium. RNAcentral describes it as "partial 16S ribosomal RNA". It matches the Rfam family "Bacterial small subunit ribosomal RNA", at positions 29 to 507 of the family's 1533-position model. The record is from RNAcentral.
AGUGAACGCUGGCGGUAGGCCUAACACAUGCAAGUCGAACGGCAGCACAGUAAGAGCUUGCUCUUACGGGUGGCGAGUGGCGGACGGGUGAGGAAUACAUCGGAAUCUACUAUUUCGUGGGGGAUAACGUAGGGAAACUUACGCUAAUACCGCAUACGACCUACGGGUGAAAGCAGGGGAUCUUCGGACCUUGCGCGAUUGAAUGAGCCGAUGUCGGAUUAGCUAGUUGGCGGGGUAAAGGCCCACCAAGGCGACGAUCCGCAGCUGGUCUGAGAGGAUGAUCAGCCACACUGGAACUGAGACACGGUCCAGACUCCUACGGGAGGCAGCAGUGGGGAAUAUUGGACAAUGGGCGCAAGCCUGAUCCAGCCAUACCGCGUGGGUGAAGAAGGCCUUCGGGUUGUAAAGCCCUUUUGUUGGGAAAGAAAAGCAGCAGGUUAAUACCCCGCUGUUCUGACGGUACCCAAAGAAUAAGCACCGGCUAACUUCGUG